This is a non-coding RNA of Trichobilharzia regenti, 46 nucleotides long. The record is from Rfam. NCBI's taxonomy places the organism in Eukaryota, Metazoa, Platyhelminthes, Trematoda, Strigeidida, Schistosomatidae.
GUACUGAUGAACAGUCCCAAACUAGGACGAAACCGCUGUCCAGUAC